This is a long non-coding RNA of Cannabis sativa, 862 nucleotides long. RefSeq lists it as uncharacterized. The record is from RefSeq and is a predicted model, not a curated record. Lineage: Eukaryota; Viridiplantae; Streptophyta; Magnoliopsida; Rosales; Cannabaceae. The transcript is spliced from 8 exons.
AAUACAAUACAAUACAAUACGACCUAAUACGGCAUUCCAAACGAGCCCUUGGUGUGUAAUUUAGUACUUCAGUCGCUUUUGUUUAAUCUCAUUCAAAAAAAAAAAAAAAAAAGAAAAGAAAAGAAAAAGAAAAACAAUGAUCUUUUCCAAAGUUAAGGAUUUUGUGUUUUAUUCUUAAAGAAAAGAAAGAAAAAAAGAUUUUGGUUGUUAUUUUGUUUAGUGUCAUUCAUUUCAUUGUUGAACCUUUUCCUUAACGUAAAGGAGAGAGAGAUCUAGCCUUUAAUAAGUUGUGUUUUGAUUCUGCAAAGACCAAUUCCUGUCCUAACCAUUAAAAGGUAGCAUUAAAAUUGGUUGCUUUGCUUGAGAUAAUUGUUCUCUUAUAUGUGGUCAAGUCAACGCAGCAAGCGUGAACCAGUUGAUGAGCUGACCAUAAAUCACAUGGCUUGGGUUCUUUCACUUUAACUUGUGCUUUACUUCAGAUCUGCUUGGCUCCUUAAUAUAUAAGUUUCAUUUCAAUCAUAGAGAAGUGGUCCCUUAUGUGUGGUCAAGUCAACGUCAAGAAGUGUGAACCAAUUGAUGAAGUAAUCAUAAAUCACAUGGCUUGGGUUCUUCCACUUUAACUUGUGCUUCACUUCAGAUCUGCCUAACUCUUGAUCCUAAAUAUAUAAGUUUCAUUUUAAUCAUAGGUGGACUGGUGGUGUGAAUAAAGUGAGUAUUCAAUCAGUGAUCUUUUGGUGUUUGAUGGAAGACUGAACUACAAAUUUCAAUUUACUUAGUGGUUGGACUUUGAUUUGUGCCUUCAUUGUGGCUCUGUUUCUGAAGAUAUAAGUUUCAGUUCCACGCAUAGAUCUUUGCUGCUAUC